AGGAAGACGCCGAGAAGCGUCAGGGGGAUGAAGAUGAUGUGAGCGAGGGUCAUGGGGCGGCUUUCGCGCGGGCGCGCGGUGUGGUAUCGGUUCAACUAUUGAGGAACGUGGUUUUGAGAAGCCCAAACAGGACUUACAACUUAGAGGCCGACGAACUUCGCGGCGGCGCCGCGCUGCUUGUGUUUUUCUAUCAUUCGAUCAGUUCUGGAGCGCCUUCGGUCGGCGCUGUCACUGGACGACUGACGUCUGAAAAUCCGUUUGCUACGCUAGUCUACGAAGGGCACACAGGCGUCGCUCUGUUCAUGGUUUUGAGCGGCUACAUACUUGCCAGCGGCACUUUUGACCGGGAUAUCAGCUAUCGCGGCUUCCUGAAGAACCGGAUGCUGCGGAUAUUCCCAUUGAUGUUCGUCGUGCUUGUUUUUUCGCUGUACACUGCAAAAUCAGUUGAUCUUGGCAGUGUCGCAGCGCCGUUUUUGCUGUUGGCGA
This 486-nucleotide unclassified non-coding RNA is filed under the name Hevea brasiliensis (rubber tree). Lineage: Eukaryota; Viridiplantae; Streptophyta; Magnoliopsida; Malpighiales; Euphorbiaceae. The record is from RNAcentral.